AACGCACAUUGCGCCCUUUGGCAUUCCGAAGGGCAUGCCUGUUCGAGCGUCAUUACACCAAUCAAGCCUGGCUUGGUAUUGGGCGACGGGGACCGCAAGGCCCCCGCGCCUUAAUGACACCGGCGGGACGGACCGUAUCUCAGCGUUGUGGUAAAAAGCCGCUGGCGAGACGGGCUCGGCCGUGCCGUUAAACAACCCCAUCAAAGGUUGACCUCGGAUCAGGUAGGGAUACCCGCUGAACUUAA
This 245-nucleotide unclassified non-coding RNA is filed under the name uncultured fungus. Its description in RNAcentral is "partial contains 5.8S ribosomal RNA, internal transcribed spacer 2, and large subunit ribosomal RNA". Lineage: Eukaryota; Fungi. The record is from RNAcentral.